UACGUAGGGGGCAAGCGUGGUCCGGAAUCAUUGGGCGUAAAGAGCGUGUAGGCGGCCCGGUAAGUCCGCUGUGAAAGUCGGGGGCUCAACCCUCGAAUGCCGGUGGAUACUGUCGGGCUAGAGUGCGGAAGAGGCGAGUGGAAUUCCUGGUGUAGCGGUGAAAUGCGUAGAUAUCAGGAGGAACACCUGUGGUGUAGACAGCUUACUGGACCACUUCUGACGCUGAGACACGAAAGCGUGGGUAGCAAACAGG
This 253-nucleotide ribosomal RNA is filed under the name uncultured bacterium. Its description in RNAcentral is "partial 16S ribosomal RNA". It matches the Rfam family "Bacterial small subunit ribosomal RNA", at positions 524 to 776 of the family's 1533-position model. The record is from RNAcentral.